RNAcentral lists this ribosomal RNA (445 nucleotides) under Notocrypta curvifascia (restricted demon). RNAcentral's name for it is "partial 16S ribosomal RNA". The record is from RNAcentral. Lineage: Eukaryota; Metazoa; Arthropoda; Insecta; Lepidoptera; Hesperiidae.
AAUAUUAAAGGGCUGCAGUAUAUUGACUGUACAAAGGUAGCAUAAUAAUUAGUCUUUUAAUUGGAGACUUGUAUGAAAGAUUUAAUGAGAUAUAAACUGUCUCUUAAUUAAAAUUAAAAUUUAAUUUUUUAGUAAAAAAGCUAAAAUAUUUUUAAAAGACGAGAAGACCCUAUAGAGUUUUAUAAUUGAUAUUUUAAUUUGAUUAUUAUAAAAUUUAAAUUUAAUAAAAAUUUAAUUAUUUUGUUGGGGUGAUGAAAAAAUAAAUAAAACUUUUUUUAAAUAAUUAACAUAAAUUAAUGAAAAAAUGAUCCAUAAAUAAUGAUUAAAAGAAAAAAUUACCUUAGGGAUAACAGCGUAAUUUUUUCUUUUAGUUCUUAUAAAAUAAAAAGUUUGCGACCUCGAUGUUGGAUUAAGAUAAAAUUUAAAUGCAGAAGUUUAAAAUUUU